RNAcentral lists this ribosomal RNA (492 nucleotides) under uncultured bacterium. RNAcentral describes it as "partial 16S ribosomal RNA". It matches the Rfam family "Bacterial small subunit ribosomal RNA", at positions 29 to 507 of the family's 1533-position model. The record is from RNAcentral.
AGUGAACGCUGGCGGUAGGCCUAACACAUGCAAGUCGAACGGCCGCACAGUAAGAGCUUGCUCUUACGGGUGGCGAGUGGCGGACGGGUGAGGAAUACAUCGGAAUCUACUUUUUCGUGGGGGAUAACGUAGGGAAACUUACGCUAAUGCCGCAUACGACCUACGGGUGAAAGCAGGGGAUCUUCGGACCUUUCGCGAUUGAAUGAGCCGAUGUCGGAUUAGCUAGUUGGCGGGGUAAAGGCCCACCAAGGCGACGAUCCGUAGCUGGUCUGAGAGGAUGAUCAGCCACACUGGAACUGAGACACGGUCCAGACUCCUACGGGAGGCAGCAGUGGGGAAUAUUGGACAAUGGGCGCAAGCCUGAUCCAGCCAUACCGCGUGAGUGAAGAAGGCCUUCGGGUUGUAAAGCCCUUUUGUUGGGAAAGAAAAGCAGCAGGUUAAUACCCCGCUGUUCUGACGGUACCCAAAGAAUAAGCAACGGCUAACUUCGUG